RNAcentral lists this ribosomal RNA (322 nucleotides) under Curvularia sp. SW106. RNAcentral's name for it is "LSU rRNA". It matches the Rfam family "Eukaryotic large subunit ribosomal RNA", at positions 331 to 670 of the family's 3401-position model. Lineage: Eukaryota; Fungi; Ascomycota; Dothideomycetes; Pleosporales; Pleosporaceae. The record is from RNAcentral.
AGACCGAUAGCGAACAAGUAGAGUGAUCGAAAGAUGAAAAGCACUUUGGAAAGAGAGUCAAACAGCACGUGAAAUUGUUGAAAGGGAAGCGCUUGCAGCCAGACUUGCUUGCAGUUGCUCAUCCGGGCUUUUGCCCGGUGCACUCUUCUGCAGGCAGGCCAGCAUCAGUUUGGGCGGUGGGAUAAAGGUCUCUGUCACGUACCUCUCUUCGGGGAGGCCUUAUAGGGGAGGCGACAUACCACCAGCCUGGACUGAGGUCCGCGCAUCUGCUAGGAUGCUGGCGUAAUGGCUGUAAGCGGCCCGUCUUGAAACACGGACCAAG